This 402-nucleotide ribosomal RNA is filed under the name uncultured bacterium. Its description in RNAcentral is "bacterial SSU rRNA". It matches the Rfam family "Bacterial small subunit ribosomal RNA", at positions 75 to 475 of the family's 1533-position model. The record is from RNAcentral.
GGGUCUUGCCCCUGUUGCGAGUGCGACGGGUAGUAAUCCAUCGGACCAUGUCCUGUAGUGGGGAUAGCCCGGCGAAAGCCGGAUUCAUCCCGCAUCCGUUCUCCGGAUGAAAGCGGGGGACCUUCGGGCCUCGCGCUUAUAGGGUUGGCCGAUGGCUGAUUAGCUAGUUGGUGGGGUAAAGGCCUACCAAGGCGUCGUUCAGUGGCUGGUCUCACGAGGCCGCCAAACCACACUAAAACUGCGCCGCGGCCCAGACUCCUACGGGAGGCAGCAGUGGGGAAUUUUGGUCAAUGGGCGGAAGCCUGAUCCAGCAAUGCCGCGUGUGUGAAGAAGGCCUUCGGGUUGUAAAGCACUUUUGUUCGGAAAGCCAUCCUUGAUUCUAAUAUAGCCGGGGGAUGGCGG